GGCUUAAAGGAGCCGCGCUGGGAACACUGCGGUCGGGGCGAGGAAGCUGCCGGGGAAGUGAGAUGACGGUCGCGGGGGUGCCCAGGAGCCCUGAAAAACUUGUGCCCUGGGCACGGCAAAAUCUGCAGGUUGCAGAAAGUCUCAACUGAUCCUGGCAUACCCCGAGGUGCCGACUUUUAGAGCUGAAGAUGCAAGAAAGAUUGGGAUCCUGCGAUGCACCGAACCUGUCUCUCGAACUUCCUGUGUUAAACAAUUUGCUACAAGGUCACACAAUUUUAACUAGAAGACUGAGAUGUGAACCUGGGUGGUCUGAUGUGAACACCACUGUCUGAUGGUAGAAGUCCUAGACAGAUUUUACAAGAAAGAAAAAAGACAUAAGAUAGGACAGGCAAAAACAACACCUUAAUUUUGAUAUCAUCUUAAUGAUGAGACUGUCUACAUAGAAAACCCAAAAGGAAUCUAGAAGAAAUGGAUAAAUUCCUCGACACAUACACUCUCCCAAGACUAAACCAGGAAGAAGUUGAAUCUCUGAAUAGACCAAUAACAGGCUCUGAAAUUGAGGCAAUAAUUAAUAGCUUACCAACCAAAAAGAGUCCAGGACCAGAUGGAUUCACAGCCGAAUUCUACCAGAGGUACAAGGAGGACCUGGUACCAUUCCUUCUGAAACUAUUCCAAUCAAUAGAAAAAGAGGGAAUCCUCCCUAACUCAUUUUAUGAGGCCAGCAUCAUCCUGAUACCAAAGCCUGGCAGAGACACAACAAAAAAAGAGAACUUUAGACCAAUAUCCUUGAUGAACAUUGACGCAAAAAUCCUCAAUAAAAUACCGGCAAACCGAAUCCAGCGGCACAUCAAAAAGCUUAUCCACCAUGAUCAAGUGAGCUUCAUCCCUGGGAUACAAGGCUGGUUCAACAUACGAAAAUCAAUAAACGUAAUCCAGCAUAUAAACAGAACCAAAGACAAAAACCACAUGAUUAUCUCAAUAGAUGCAGAAAAGGCCUUUGACAAAAUUCAACAACUCUUCAUGCUAAAAACUCUCAAUAAAUUAGGUAUUGAUGGGACGUAUUUCAAAAUAAUAAGAGCUAUCUAUGACAAACCCACAGCCAAUAUCAUACUGAAUGGGCAAAAACUGGAAGCAUUCCCUUUGAAAACUGGCACAAGACAGGGAUGCCCUCUCUCAUCACUCCUAUUCAACAUAGUGUUGGAAGUUCUGGCCAGGGCAAUCAGGCAGCAGAAGGAAAUAAAGGGCAUUCAAUUAGGAAAAGAGGAAGUCAAAUUGUCCCUGUUUGCAGAUGACAUGAUUGUAUAUCUAGAAAACCCUAUAGUCUCAACCCAAAAUCUCCUUAAGCUGAUAAGCAACUUCAGCAAAGUCUCAGGAUACAAAAUCAAUGUGCAAACAUCACAAGCAUUCUUACACACCAAUAACAGACAAACAGAGAGCCAAAUCAUGAGGGAACUCCCAUUCACAAUUGCUUCAAAAAGAAUAAAAUACCUAGGAAUCCAACUUACAAGGGAUGUGAAGGACCUUUUCAAGAACUACAAACCACUGCUCAAUGAAAUAAAAGAGGAUACAAACAAAUGGAAGAACAUUCCAAGCUCAUGGGUAGGAAGAAUCAAUAUCGUGAAAAUGGCCACACUGCCCAAGGUAAUUUAUAGAUUCAAUGCCAUCCCCAUCAAACUACCAAUGCCUUUCUUCACAGAAUUGGAAAAAAACUACUUUAAAGUUCAUAUGGAACCAAAAAAGAGCCCACAUUGCCAAGUCAAUCCUAAACCAAAAGAACAAAGCUGGAGGCAUCACGCUACCUGACUUCAAACUAUAUUACAAGGCUACAGUAACCAAAACAGCAUGGUACUGGUACCAAAACAGAGAUAUAGACCAAUGGAACAGAACAGAGCCCUCAGAAAUAAUGCCGCAUAUCUACAACUAUCCAAUCUUUGACAAACCUGAGUAAAACAAGCAAUGGGGAAAGGAUUCCCUAUUUAAUAAAUGGUGCUGGGAAAACUGGCUAGCCAUAUGGAGAAAGCUGAAACUGGAUCCCUUCCUUACACCUUAUACAAAAAUUAAUUCAAAUGGAUUAAAGACUUACAUGUUAGACCUAAAACCAUAAAAACCUAGAAGAAAACCUAGGCAAUACCAUUCAGGACAUAGGCAUGGGCAAGGACUUCAUGUCUAAAACACCAAAAGCAAUGGCAACAAAAGCUAAAAUUGACAAGUGGGAUCUAAUUAAACUAAAGAGCUUCUGCACAGCAAAAGAAACCACCAUCAGAGUGAACAGGCAACCUACAGAAUGGGAGAAAAUUUUUGCAACCUACUCAUCUGACAAAGGGCUAAUAUCCAGAAUCUACAAUGAACUCAAACAAAUUUUAAGAAAAAAACAAACAACCCCAUCAAAAAGUGGGUGAAGGAUAUGAACAGACACUUCUCAAAAGAAGAUAUUUAUGCAGCCAAAAAACACAUGGAAAAAUGCUCAUCAUCACUGGCCAUCAGAGAAAUGCAGAUCAAAACCACAAUGAGAUACCAUCUCACACCAGUUAAAAUGGCAAUCAUUAAAAAGUCAGGAAACAACAGGUGCUGGAGAGGAUGUGGAGAUAUAGGAACACUUUUACACUGUUGGUGGGAGUGUAAACUAGUUCAACCAUUGUGGAAGUCAGUGUGGCGAUUCCUCAGGGAUCUAGAACUAGAAAUACCAUUUGACCCAGCCAUCCCAUUACUGGGUAUAUACCCAAAGGAUUAUAAAUCAUGCUGCUAUAAAGACAUAUGUACAUGUGUGUUUAUUGCAGCACUAUUCACAAUAGCAAAGACUUGGAACCAACCGAAAUGUCCGACAAUGAUAGACUGGAUUAAGAAAAUGUGGCACAUGUGCACCAUGGAAUACUAUGCAGCCAUAAAAAAUGAUGAGUUCAUGUCCUUUGUAAGGACGUGGAUGAAGCUGGAAACCGUCAUUCUCAGCAAACUAUCGCAAGGACAAAAAACCAAACACUGCAUGUUCUCACUCAUAGGUGGGAAUUGAACAAUGAGAACACAUGGACACAGGAAGGGGAACAUCACAUACUGGGGACUGUUGUGGGGUGCGGGGAGUGGGGAGGGAUAGCAUUAGGAGAUAUACCUAAUGCUAAAUGACUAGUUAAUGGGUGCAGCACACCAACAUGACACAUGUAUACAUAUGUAACAAACCUGCACGGUGUGCACAUGUACCC
Homo sapiens (human) is the source of this 3194-nucleotide long non-coding RNA. Ensembl annotates it as RTCA antisense RNA 1. Its record names the gene RTCA-AS1. The record is from Ensembl. NCBI's taxonomy places the organism in Eukaryota, Metazoa, Chordata, Mammalia, Primates, Hominidae.